This 310-nucleotide long non-coding RNA is filed under the name Elaeis guineensis (African oil palm). Its description in RNAcentral is "long non-coding RNA (EGUI_LNC018799)". Lineage: Eukaryota; Viridiplantae; Streptophyta; Magnoliopsida; Arecales; Arecaceae. The record is from RNAcentral.
CCCUAGUGUAUUCAAUCAAAUAUAUAUGCCUAUAAGUGAAGUUUAGAUAUGAAACCUUAGGUCGGUGAAGAAUAGAAGAAGCCGGUAUCCUUUAUUUUCCAUGAGGUGCCCAAACGUUCGCCCUCCAAUAGGUGAUCCACACGAAAUCAGGAUUAAGAAAACGCUCUGGCAAAAUCUUGUCUUAUCAAAUUCUCUUCCCGAGAACUAUCUUGCCUUGCUAGGAUCAAUUCCCAACACUCCAUCAAUUCUCUCUUAAAUGACCUAAACCCCUCUCUUAGCCUUUCAAAAAGAUCUUCCUAAACCCUUGUCC